CUCGUAGGCGGCCAACUAAGUCGGACGUGAAAUCCCUCGGCUCAACCGGGGAACUGCGUCUGAUACUGGAUGGCUGGAAUCCGGGAGAGGGAUGCGGAAUUCCAGGUGUAGCGGUGAAAUGCGUAGAUAUCUGGAGGAACACCGGUGGCGAAGGCGGCAUCCUGGACCGGUAUUGACGCUGAGGAGCGAAAGCCAGGGGAGCAAACG
RNAcentral lists this ribosomal RNA (207 nucleotides) under uncultured bacterium. RNAcentral describes it as "partial 16S ribosomal RNA". It matches the Rfam family "Bacterial small subunit ribosomal RNA", at positions 568 to 774 of the family's 1533-position model. The record is from RNAcentral.